UUUAUUAGGGGAGCUGAGGCUGAGAGGUUAUUAAGUUAACGACCCAUAAAACCUGAUCUAGAUAAUGCUAGCGUAGGAAUUAUUAU
RNAcentral lists this non-coding RNA (86 nucleotides) under bovine gut metagenome. The record is from RNAcentral.